CCGUGCUAGAUGGGGAGGUAGCGGUGCCCUGUAACCUGCAAUCCGCUAUAGCAGGGUUGAAUUCCUGUUAAAGGUCUUGUUAAUGUAGGGUCUGGACGUCUAUAUGUGGUGUUGACGGUCGGGUCCUUCGCAAUGGAAGCUCGUGAACCCGGUCAGGUUCGGAAGAAAGCAGCCGUAAGCGAGAUGUUCCAUGUGCCGAGGGGCAACCUAACCCGAGCUAACAGUAUUCGUUCCGCCUGGAUUUCAAGAUCAAUAACAGGUGCACG
This 266-nucleotide signal recognition particle RNA is filed under the name Paenibacillus senegalensis. RNAcentral describes it as "Bacterial large signal recognition particle RNA". It matches the Rfam family "Bacterial large signal recognition particle RNA". Rfam says of the family: The signal recognition particle (SRP) is a universally conserved ribonucleoprotein involved in the co-translational targeting of proteins to membranes. Archaeal SRP consists of a 7S RNA and homologues of the eukaryotic SRP19 and SRP54 proteins. The record is from RNAcentral. Lineage: Bacteria; Bacillati; Bacillota; Bacilli; Caryophanales; Paenibacillaceae.